Long non-coding RNA from Engraulis encrasicolus (European anchovy), 1248 nucleotides. RefSeq lists it as uncharacterized. The record is from RefSeq and is a predicted model, not a curated record. Lineage: Eukaryota; Metazoa; Chordata; Actinopteri; Clupeiformes; Engraulidae. The transcript is spliced from 4 exons.
GCCAUCAGAGAGUAGUGACUUGACCGUAGUGUUUUUAGUGUGCUCCCACAUUGAACUCUACUUUUUGGGUCCAUGCACCUACUUAUUUCUAAACAUCUAGAGCGCAACAAUACCCCUGCCUCCUGAUGUGCCAUAUAACCUGUAUCUCUCCGUGUGUGUGUGUGUGUGUGUGUGUGUGAGAGAGAGAGAGAGAGAGAGAGAGAAUGUGUGCACGCAGAUAUAAGAAGUUGGGGUUGAUGAUCCACAUGAUGGUGAUGGACCAGGACAGCUCUGGACCUCCUGACUGGCAGCUCCAUCCUCAACCUCUCUUCCUGCCCUUCACACAUGUGCAGGCAGGCAGUUUUCUGAAAGAUGGUUGAUGUCAGUACCAACAUGUUGUGAUGGAGGCUUCCACCUGAGCUGAACACAGAAACUUGCACACAGUGAUGGAAGCAGUCGUUCCUGUUCAGCAUCGAUAUGCCAGUAAUGGGUUUGAUGAGCCACAGCAUGGUGAUGGGCAAUCAGCAUCAGGACCAGGGCAGCUCACAAGGAGAACCUCCUGCCCUGCCUCGUCAUCCUCAACCUCCCAUCUCCCUGCUCUUCACACAUGUGCAGGCACGGAGCCAGUUUUCAGAGGGAGGGCUGAUGACACCAGCAACUUUGGUUCUGAACCUGAUCAACCCAGCACCAACCACUGUGCCGCUCCUCCUCUGCCAACUGCACCACAUGGCUCCAACUGCACCACAUGGCUCCACCAUCUCAAAAAGGCACAGACACUACUCCACUUCCUGCAAAGGAUGAGAGAAGAGCCGACCGCCCCACAUCGGCACUCACCACCUUCUACAGGGGUGUCAUUGAGAGCAUCCUGACCAGCAGCCUCUCUGUCUGGCAUGGCAGCCGUCAAGCUGAAGACUAGAAGGCAGUACAGAGAGUGUGGUGAGAACGGCAGAAAAGCUCAUAAGAUCACCCCUACCAGCCAUUCAGGAUCUGUACACUUCACACUGUUCCAAGAGGGCAAUGAACAUCAUAAAGACAUAACUCAUCCAGCAUACAGACUGUAUCCCUCCCUACUACCAUCAGGGAAGCGCAUGUGGUGCCGCACAAGCACACUGGGAAACGGCUUCUUUCCACAAGCCAUCAGACUCCUCAACGCACUGAAGAAAACCACAUGAAUAUUCCAAGGACACUGGAGAAUAUUCCAUGAACACUUCUUUCACCAUGCCACGUACACUUUACUCAUUGCACCUUAUAUACAGCAUCUUCACAUCA